GCGUUCGUGGCGUAACGGUUAUCGCGUGUGCCCUCCGCGCAGAAAGCCAGGGUUCGAUUCCCGGCCGCGAGGACGCA
Molecule: transfer RNA, 77 nt
Filed under: Ixodes scapularis (black-legged tick)
Lineage: Eukaryota; Metazoa; Arthropoda; Arachnida; Ixodida; Ixodidae
Description: tRNA-Gly for anticodon UCC
Source: RNAcentral